UGACAAUGAGGCAAUUCCCUUGUAACUUCAUUUUCUUUUGCUAUUGAUGCAGGUCAGAUGUAGACGAAGGGGGUGAGACUAUCAGCAUCAAUUACUCAAUUGCUGUACUCAAUCCUUUUCAGGUUCAUUAACUUAAAGGAGCACAUAACAGGUUAUUGAUGUGGGUGGUAAGGACUUCAGGUUGGGAGACCUCUGUGAUAUAUAUGAAGAACGUCAAAGUGGUGAAUGUGAAUCUGAUUCAUAAUAGCACAAGCACAUUUUGUUGACAACUAUUAAUUAGUUUAUUUAUUUUUUUUUUUUUUGAAGAUGGGAAUCUGCUCUAAGUUUGAGCUGCAAAAACAGUGUCACCACACAGCAUUUUGUUUAGAUACUUCCCUGACCAAUUUCCUUUUUUCAUAAUCUGUGUGAAGAUUUAUAAUAUCAUAUCUCCUACAUUACUACUAAUUAGAUUCCAUGACA
Molecule: non-coding RNA, 459 nt
Organism: Camellia sinensis
Lineage: Eukaryota; Viridiplantae; Streptophyta; Magnoliopsida; Ericales; Theaceae
Source: RefSeq, a predicted model, not a curated record